This is a long non-coding RNA of Daphnia carinata, 425 nucleotides long. RefSeq lists it as uncharacterized. The record is from RefSeq and is a predicted model, not a curated record. NCBI's taxonomy places the organism in Eukaryota, Metazoa, Arthropoda, Branchiopoda, Diplostraca, Daphniidae. The transcript is spliced from 2 exons.
CGAUUUUUAAAAAUAUCUUCUUUGUUUUGUUUCGCUAAGUCACACAUCUCGUAUUUCAACGCUUAAAGUGGAUAGGGAUUGCUUAGGUUAUAGUUAUAGGCUUAUCAUUGGUUCAGGUACAAAUUACACUGCAGUGAAAUGCAUUUUCCUUUUUCACAGUAUAUGAGCCACAGGUUUGAUUGGAGCAGCUGCAUACAUUGCACACCAUUCCAAUAAAUCACAACGUAAGUGGAGCAGAAUUCUUAUGCAACUUGUCAGCAUUGGAUUUGCAUCAGUAGGUUCAGCAAGACUUCUGUAUAUUUACCCAUUUAACGUCACUCACAACAGCCAACGUUGAGAAUCCAAAUAAGAGAACAGGGAUGGUUGAAAAGAUUCAUAAAUGUGUCAUAUUGGCCAGGAGAAAAUACACUCAAUAUCCAACUUUA